This 459-nucleotide ribosomal RNA is filed under the name uncultured bacterium. RNAcentral's name for it is "partial 16S ribosomal RNA". It matches the Rfam family "Bacterial small subunit ribosomal RNA", at positions 338 to 795 of the family's 1533-position model. The record is from RNAcentral.
CCUACGGGGGGCUGCAGUGAGGAAUAUUGGUCAAUGGGCGAGAGCCUGAACCAGCCAAGUCGCGUGAGGGAAGACGGUCCUAUGGAUUGUAAACCUCUUUUGUCGGGGAGCAAAAAGCGGCACGCGUACCGUUCCGAGAGUACCCGGAGAAAAAGCAUCGGCUAACUCCGUGCCAGCAGCCGCGGUAAUACGGAGGAUGCGAGCGUUAUCCGGAUUUAUUGGGUUUAAAGGGUGCGCAGGCGGAGGGUUAAGUCAGCGGUAAAAUUUCGAGGCUCAACCCCGGCGAGCCGUUGAAACUGGUUUGCUAGAGUGGGCGAGAAGUAUGCGGAAUGCGUGGUGUAGCGGUGAAAUGCAUAGAUAUCACGCAGAACUCCGAUUGCGAAGGCAGCAUACCGGCGCCCAACUGACGCUCAGGCACGAAAGCGUGGGUAUCGAACAGGAUUAGAUACCCGGGUAGUC